AGUGUGCACUGGCGGCAGACGUAUCACAUGCAAGUCGAGCGGUAACACAGAGUAGCCUGCUACUCUGAUGACGAGCGGCGGACGGGUGAGUAAUGCUUGGGAACAUGCCUUGAGGUGGGGGACAACAGUUGGAAACGACUGCUAAUACCGCAUAAUGUCUACGGACCAAAGGGGGCUUCGGCUCUCGCCUUUAGAUUGGCCCAAGUGGGAUUAGCUAGUUGGUGAGGUAAUGGCUCACCAAGGCGACGAUCCCUAGCUGGUUUGAGAGGAUGAUCAGCCACACUGGGACUGAGACACGGCCCAGACUCCUACGGGAGGCAGCAGUGGGGAAUAUUGCACAAUGGGCGCAAGCCUGAUGCAGCCAUGCCGCGUGUGUGAAGAAGGCCUUCGGGUUGUAAAGCACUUUCAGUCAGGAGGAAAGGUUAGUAGUUAAUACCUGCUAGCUGUGACGUUACUGACAGAAGAAGCACCGGCUAACUCCGUGCCAGCAGCCGCGGUAAUACGGAGGGUGCGAGCGUUAAUCGGAAUUACUGGGCGUAAAGCGUACGCAGGCGGUUUGUUAAGCGAGAUGUGAAAGCCCCGGGCUCAACCUGGGAACUGCAUUUCGAACUGGCAAACUAGAGUGUGAUAGAGGGUGGUAGAAUUUCAGGUGUAGCGGUGAAAUGCGUAGAGAUCUGAAGGAAUACCGAUGGCGAAGGCAGCCACCUGGGUCAACACUGACGCUCAUUA
Molecule: ribosomal RNA, 729 nt
Filed under: bacterium IMCC11105
Lineage: Bacteria
Description: bacterial SSU rRNA
Rfam family: Bacterial small subunit ribosomal RNA
Source: RNAcentral